This 336-nucleotide ribosomal RNA is filed under the name Escherichia coli. RNAcentral's name for it is "bacterial LSU rRNA". It matches the Rfam family "Bacterial large subunit ribosomal RNA", at positions 2612 to 2925 of the family's 2925-position model. Lineage: Bacteria; Pseudomonadati; Pseudomonadota; Gammaproteobacteria; Enterobacterales; Enterobacteriaceae. The record is from RNAcentral.
UAGAACGUCGUGAGACAGUUCGGUCCCUAUCUGCCGUGGGCGCUGGAGAACUGAGGGGGGCUGCUCCUAGUACGAGAGGACCGGAGUGGACGCAUCACUGGUGUUCGGGUUGUCAUGCCAAUGGCACUGCCCGGUAGCUAAAUGCGGAAGAGAUAAGUGCUGAAAGCAUCUAAGCACGAAACUUGCCCCGAGAUGAGUUCUCCCUGACUCCUUGAGAGUCCUGAAGGAACGUUGAAGACGACGACGUUGAUAGGCCGGGUGUGUAAGCGCAGCGAUGCGUUGAGCUAACCGGUACUAAUGAACCGUGAGGCUUAACCUUACAACGCCGAAGCUGUU